AGUCACUGACAUUAGACUACCCCCGUAGUCCCAGCCGUAAACUAUGCGCGUUAGGUGUACUGGUGACCACGAGUCGACCGGGGUGCCGAAGGGAACCGUGAAACGUGCCGCCUGGGAAGUACGGUCGCAAGGCUGAAACUUAAAGGAAUUGGCGGGGAGCACCACAACGGGUGGAGCCUGCGGUUUAAUUGGACUCAGCGCCGGAAAUCUCACCGGAUAGGACAGACAUAUGAUAGUCGGGCUGAAGACUCUACUUGAUGAUCUG
RNAcentral lists this ribosomal RNA (265 nucleotides) under uncultured archaeon. Its description in RNAcentral is "partial 16S ribosomal RNA". It matches the Rfam family "Archaeal small subunit ribosomal RNA", at positions 718 to 982 of the family's 1478-position model. The record is from RNAcentral.